This 394-nucleotide ribosomal RNA is filed under the name Lactiplantibacillus plantarum. Its description in RNAcentral is "bacterial SSU rRNA". It matches the Rfam family "Bacterial small subunit ribosomal RNA", at positions 92 to 472 of the family's 1533-position model. Lineage: Bacteria; Bacillati; Bacillota; Bacilli; Lactobacillales; Lactobacillaceae. The record is from RNAcentral.
UGAGUGGCGAACUGGUGAGUAACACGUGGGAAACCUGCCCAGAAGCGGGGGAUAACACCUGGAAACAGAUGCUAAUACCGCAUAACAACUUGGACCGCAUGGUCCGAGCUUGAAAGAUGGCUUCGGCUAUCACUUUUGGAUGGUCCCGCGGCGUAUUAGCUAGAUGGUGGGGUAACGGCUCACCAUGGCAAUGAUACGUAGCCGACCUGAGAGGGUAAUCGGCCACAUUGGGACUGAGACACGGCCCAAACUCCUACGGGAGGCAGCAGUAGGGAAUCUUCCACAAUGGACGAAAGUCUGAUGGAGCAACGCCGCGUGAGUGAAGAAGGGUUUCGGCUCGUAAAACUCUGUUGUUAAAGAAGAACAUAUCUGAGAGUAACUGUUCAGGUAUUGA